UGGGGAAUAUUGCACAAUGGGCGCAAGCCUGAUGCAGCAACGCCGCGUGAACGAUGAAGGUCUUCGGAUCGUAAAGUUCUGUUGCAGGGGAAGAUAAUGACGGUACCCUGUGAGGAAGCCCCGGCUAACUACGUGCCAGCAGCCGCGGUAAUACGUAGGGGGCUAGCGUUAUCCGGAUUUACUGGGCUUAAAGGGUGCGUAGGUGGUCUUUCAAGUCGGUGGUUAAAGGCUACGGCUCAACCGUAGUUAGCCUCCGAAACUGGAAGACUUGAGUGCAGGAGAGGAAAGUGGAAUUCCCAGUGUAGCGGUGAAAUGCGUAGAUAUUGGGAGGAACACCAGUAGCGAAGGCGGCUUUCUGGACUGCAACUGACACUGAGGCACGAAAGCGUGGGUAGCAAACAGG
RNAcentral lists this ribosomal RNA (403 nucleotides) under Verrucomicrobiota bacterium. Its description in RNAcentral is "Verrucomicrobia bacterium partial 16S ribosomal RNA". It matches the Rfam family "Bacterial small subunit ribosomal RNA", at positions 355 to 776 of the family's 1533-position model. Lineage: Bacteria; Pseudomonadati; Verrucomicrobiota. The record is from RNAcentral.